UGCAGCGUAGCUUAAUGGACAAAGCGCCAAGCUCAUACCUUGGUCAUUGCGGGUUCAACUCCCGCCGCUGCGA
RNAcentral lists this transfer RNA (73 nucleotides) under Microcoleus sp. FACHB-1515. It matches the Rfam family "tRNA". From Rfam's summary of the family: Transfer RNA (tRNA) molecules are approximately 80 nucleotides in length. Their secondary structure includes four short double-helical elements and three loops (D, anti-codon, and T loops). RNAcentral also lists the same sequence under 1 other name. The record is from Rfam by way of RNAcentral. Lineage: Bacteria; Bacillati; Cyanobacteriota; Cyanophyceae; Oscillatoriales; Microcoleaceae.